UCAGCUCCAGGACUCAACAUCAUGGAGUAUACAGUGAAUUAUAGCGUGAUAAAGUUAUAAUUUUCACUAAAUUUUCAACUGCACACAAUUACCAGUGAACUGUGUGUAAAUCAUCAACUGCCUGUGUAUCAGCUGAUUUCUACACCAGCUUUACAUCCUGAGCAGAAGAUUGUCGUGGAGAGGACGGACCCUUGAUGCUCUGCCUUUUUGCACCAACAAUACAUACAUGUAUUUUAUUAAUUUGUAAAUAAAGUCUUUAAUAUAA
Long non-coding RNA from Clarias gariepinus (North African catfish), 265 nucleotides. RefSeq lists it as uncharacterized. The transcript has 3 exons. The record is from RefSeq and is a predicted model, not a curated record. NCBI's taxonomy places the organism in Eukaryota, Metazoa, Chordata, Actinopteri, Siluriformes, Clariidae.